This is a long non-coding RNA of Synchiropus splendidus (mandarinfish), 927 nucleotides long. RefSeq lists it as uncharacterized. The transcript is spliced from 3 exons. NCBI's taxonomy places the organism in Eukaryota, Metazoa, Chordata, Actinopteri, Syngnathiformes, Callionymidae. The record is from RefSeq and is a predicted model, not a curated record.
CAACAACAACUCAGGCAGGAAAGAUCUCACCAACAGGGGAAAAGAGAAGAAAUAAAACAAGUCUGCCUCUGGUAUCUGUGCACAGCAAACAGCAAUGGUCUGGAACAGAACCCAACGUGCGAAGAGCCCGUGGUCACUAGUUUUGUCUGGAUUUGUGUGGAACUCAGUGUUUAUGGAGCUGGAUUCAUGGUUGUAACACACUUGGGGCUUUUCUGCCGAGGAUGUCCAUGUUGACUGAUUUGAUCAGUGACGCCAUGAUUAUUAUCUUCGUGAACUGAGGCACAUAUAUGAAAAUCAACAGGCCGCAUACCACAUGCCAAAGGCGUGAGAAAACUUGCAUUCUUUGAUAACCCGUGGUAAACAGAGUUCAGAGAACUACUCUGGCGGUCCAAUGGAUCAAAAUAUAACAAUCUAUUCCUAGGUAUAGCUGGUGAAUGGACACUUGGAGAAUGGUAUUUUUUAUCUUGUAUUUUACCUAUAUUUAAGUGGAGACAUUCUCCUGCCAACAUAUUUCAGGUCCACUGUUAUACCCCACUGAGACCAUGAGACUGAGUUUGUGUACCAACUUUGGACCAGUUACAGUUACAGGAGCACUUUAUUGUUAUACCUGCUGAAUAUUCCAGUAUAACGUGGUUUCUCCUGCCACGGAAGUCAUGCUUUUGCUGUUUGUUCUGGGGGCUACAUGAGAAUAAAAAGUGGUUUGGUAGAAGUAUGCACUCUGAAUGUCUUGGUGGUUGAUAGUGAACAAUUAAAUAAAGCUGCAUUUUUUUUUCAACAUUUUAUGUUUAGGUCAACUCUAACUCUGAAAAACACAAUCGCACAUAGUGGUGACAAAGAAAAGCCAAUAUCAAGUUGUUGUUUUAUUCGAUAAAAGUCUUCAGGUACAAAUAUGCAUGUGAGGAGUACAAAUUAAAACAUGAAGCUCUU